GAUUAAGGUCCUUGAAAGUGAAAUCAGAAGCCUUUGGGUUUUGAAGAUGAGUGAUAUGAUCAUUUUAAAAAGUUCACUCUGUCUCAUAAGACACUGUAGUGGGACCAAGGCAGAAACAGAGAGACCAGGAGUUUAUGACACCGUGUGAAGAGAACACGCUGACUUUGAUACAUCAGAAAUGCAUUUGUUUAGAAAACAUUUCGUUGACAUUUCUUGUAGAAAAUAGCUUCACAUUAGCGUAGGAUAGGCUGAGACUGUGACAGUAUGAGUCAGUAAGAACUCUCUGAGUUUCGUUUUUCAAGUAAGAAUUUACUGGAUAGUUUAACAAGUGGACAAUAUGUGGGGUGAAAGAGUUUACACAUUUGAAUUUAUUUUGUUAUAACAUUUGGGAUUAUUACUAAGAGAGAUACACUGAGGCCACAACAUAAAUAAGCCCAGUCUAAAUUAAAAGCCAUCAUCUUCCAGGCGUCCAUUUCUUUGACCUAAUGCCUAGAUGUUUACCUUUCUCAUGUGCUGGAGUUACAAAUAAUUUUUCACAAAGCAUCUUCUCUCAAAUAAAUCAUUAUAUUGAGAGGAAUUGUCUGAAAGUAAAGUCCCUUAUACCUCAGGAGGAUCCAGACUGAAUCACUGAACUGAAGGAAUGUUUGCAGGUCAACCAGAGGAACUUUGUUUCAGACUGUGGGCUGGGUCUAGGCCUUAUCCACAUGUCUUUCAUUGGAAAGGAACAGUUAUUUCUGGUGCACACAUAGAAGGACAAGAGGCCAAGCCAAACCACACAAACACAGUUAAAGCUUCCACUCACAUUAUAUUUGCUAACUAUUCAUAAUCCAAAGCUACUCAGAUGUUAAAGCUCAAAGUCAAUGGAGCAAAGAAGAAAAAUCUACCUAUUGGAUUAAUAGACAAUACCAAGUUUCAGGGCAAAAGGAAUGUGUGGAGAAUUCAGUUUCAGGGAGAGAGUAAAAAGUGAAGAAUGACAAUUCAAUCUACUCUGUUCCUUUUCAGCCACUGGAUAUGUAGCUGUGCUUUGAUAUAUGAAACUAUUUCAACAAACCUCAUUUCAAGGAGUUGCAUAUUUACAUGUAGCUUUAGAAAUGAUGUGCAUGUGCAAGAAUCCUUUGGUGGAAUUAUGUUAUAUUAUUUACAGGCUAAUAAAAAAUUCACAUUAGAACAAUAUGCUUGCUUUUAGUGGAUUAAAUUUUAAAUACAUACUAUGAGGCUCUGAUAGCAUUAAUUAUUCAUUUCAUCUACAUUGUUGUUUUGCUUACAUUAUUUCAAGAAAUAGAAAUCUUAUGGAAGCUCAGCAAUUAUAUGAGUAGAAAUGUGAUUUUUAAUUUAGUUUUACAUAUUUCCUUUGUUAAGUAGGGCAUGUAGUUUACCGGACAUUGCAUAAAACGCAGCUCUCCCUAUUGGUACCAAGUUGGCAGGCAAUUUGGUUUUAAUCCUGUCCAGAGAUUGCUUGUGCGUUCCCAUACAUUUCAACUCUGAUCUUCUAAUGGUCAUUUGUUGUGCUGUGAUUACAUGGAUGAACUGCAAAGAGAUCAUUUGACUAAAUUGUCAACUUAAGUGCACAGUAUCUGUACAAGGGAAAAAUGCU
RNAcentral lists this long non-coding RNA (1594 nucleotides) under Homo sapiens (human). Its description in RNAcentral is "HSALNT0281182". Lineage: Eukaryota; Metazoa; Chordata; Mammalia; Primates; Hominidae. The record is from RNAcentral.